AUUGAACGCUGGCGGCAUGCUUUACACAUGCAAGUCGAACGGCAGCGCGGGGCAACCUGGCGGCGAGUGGCGAACGGGUGAGUAAUAUAUCGGAACGUACCCAGAAGUGGGGGAUAACGUAGCGAAAGUUACGCUAAUACCGCAUACGAUCUACGGAUGAAAGUGGGGGACCUUCGGGCCUCAUGCUUUUGGAGCGGCCGAUAUCUGAUUAGCUAGUUGGUGAGGUAAAGGCUCACCAAGGCGACGAUCAGUAGCUGGUCCUGAGAGGACGACCAGCCACACUGGGACUGAGACACGGACCAGACUCCUACGGGAGGCAGCAGUGAGGAAUAUUGGACAAUGGGCGCAAGCCUGAUCCAGCCAUGCCGCGUGCAGGAAGAAGCAUCUAUGGUGUGUAAACUGCUUUUGUACGGGAAGAAACACUCCUACGUGUAGGAGCUUGACGGUACCGUAAGAAUAAGGAUACGGCUAACUCCGUGCCAGCAGCCGCGGUAAU
Molecule: ribosomal RNA, 496 nt
Filed under: uncultured bacterium
Lineage: Bacteria
Description: bacterial SSU rRNA
Rfam family: Bacterial small subunit ribosomal RNA
Source: RNAcentral